CCUACGGGGUGCAGCAGUGAGGAAUAUUGGUCAAUGGACGAGAGUCUGAACCAGCCAAGUAGCGUGAAGGAUGACUGCCCUAUGGGUUGUAAACUUCUUUUAUAUGGGAAUAAAAUGUUCCACGUGUGGGAUUUUGUAUGUACCAUAUGAAUAAGGAUCGGCUAACUCCGUGCCAGCAGCCGCGGUAAUACGGAGGAUCCGAGCGUUAUCCGGAUUUAUUGGGUUUAAAGGGAGCGUAGGUGGAUUGUUAAGUCAGUUGUGAAAGUUUGCGGCUCAACCGUAAAAUUGCAGUUGAAACUGGCAGUCUUGAGUACAGUAGAGGUGGGCGGAAUGCGUGGUGUAGCGGUGAAAUGCUUAGAUAUCACGAAGAACUCCGAUUGCGAAGGCAGUUCACUGGACUGCAACUGACACUGAGGCUCGAAAGUGUGGGUAUCAAACAGGAUUAGAUACCCUGGUAGUC
This 460-nucleotide ribosomal RNA is filed under the name uncultured bacterium. Its description in RNAcentral is "partial 16S ribosomal RNA". It matches the Rfam family "Bacterial small subunit ribosomal RNA", at positions 338 to 795 of the family's 1533-position model. The record is from RNAcentral.